This 75-nucleotide transfer RNA is filed under the name Polypterus senegalus senegalus (gray bichir). RNAcentral describes it as "tRNA-Leu". It matches the Rfam family "tRNA". From Rfam's summary of the family: Transfer RNA (tRNA) molecules are approximately 80 nucleotides in length. Their secondary structure includes four short double-helical elements and three loops (D, anti-codon, and T loops). Further hydrogen bonds mediate the characteristic L-shaped molecular structure. tRNAs have two regions of fundamental functional importance: the anti-codon, which is responsible for specific mRNA codon recognition, and the 3' end, to which the tRNAs corresponding amino acid is attached (by aminoacyl-tRNA synthetases). tRNAs cope with the degeneracy of the genetic code in two manners: having more than one tRNA (with a specific anti-codon) for a particular amino acid; and 'wobble' base-pairing, i.e. permitting non-standard base-pairing at the 3rd anti-codon position. The record is from RNAcentral. Lineage: Eukaryota; Metazoa; Chordata; Cladistia; Polypteriformes; Polypteridae.
GUUAGAGUGGCAGAGCCUGGUAAUUGCAUAAGGCCUAAGCCCUUACCCCCAGGGGUUCAACUCCCCUCUUUAACU